The sequence is a transfer RNA, 90 nucleotides long. It matches the Rfam family "tRNA". Rfam says of the family: Transfer RNA (tRNA) molecules are approximately 80 nucleotides in length. Their secondary structure includes four short double-helical elements and three loops (D, anti-codon, and T loops). The record is from Rfam.
GCAUUAAUGGGGUAGUGGUAACCUGGGUCGUUGCCAAGUUUUAACAGACGGGUAGUCGACCCGCCGGGGGUUCGAUUCCCCCUUAAUGCA